UACAGAGGGUGCGAGCGUUAAUCGGAGUUACUGGGCGUAAAGGGCGCGUAGGCGGUUUAUCAAGUGUGAUGUGAAAGCCCCGGGCUUAACCUGGGAAGCGCAUCGCAAACUGAGGAACUGGAGUACAAGAGAGGGUGGCGGAAUUUCCGGUGUAGCGGUGAAAUGCGUAGAGAUCGGAAGGAACGUCAAUGGCGAAGGCAGCCACCUGGCUUGAUACUGACGCUGAGGCGCGAAAGCGUGGGUAGCGAACAGG
Molecule: ribosomal RNA, 253 nt
Filed under: uncultured bacterium
Lineage: Bacteria
Description: partial 16S ribosomal RNA
Rfam family: Bacterial small subunit ribosomal RNA
Source: RNAcentral